GGCUGGCUAAACAAACAAACAAAACAUAGUGUGCAUGUGUAUGAAAUAUCAGGAUUAACUGUGGAAAAGUUCAUGACUGAAAUGUCCGUGUGUAUCAGCUUCGUGUGCAGCCGCCGGCGAAUCGGAGUGUAUGACUAAAAUCCAUCUGAGUUGGCCUACUGACUGUUGAUGUCCAGUCAAUGAACGCCAGUGGGUGGAGCCAAGGAUAUGAUGAUGUGCUUUCCUCUGGGGCAGAGAAGAAGGAGACUGCAGACCUGGAGCAGUGACAAACGCCAGUCCUACUCGACAGAUUGCAAUUAAAUCCGCUUAAUCACAGCGCACCAUUCCACGCAUUGUAAACAAUAAGGGAUAGCAACACUUUGAAUACACAGAAUCCUAGUUUUCCUUAUCUACUUUGUACUUCGUUAUCAACAAUCAAACAAAAAUGAAAUAGUCAUUUUGAUGGCAUUGAUAAACCUGUGUUGGUUUUCUGUGGCAGGGUAGAAAGCAAGCCAUCAAAAUCGUGUAAUUUACGUGAGAGGCACUCAGGCAAAGGAAAAAUGACGACUGUUGCUUGUUCUCACACCACAGCAUCAAGCUUCUGUCAUGCUAACAUUGACCCCAGGGGAUCUUAUGAAAAUUUUUUCAUUAUUUUACUCAAAGUCAAUGAAAAUCAAGCAGACAAGACAAGUAUGAAGCAGAGGAUCUUAAUAAGGUAUUACGAUCAUUUUAUGCAUCUGUGCAAAGUUUCGCGGAAGGAUAAAAAUGUUAAUUUAAAACAAA
Molecule: non-coding RNA, 762 nt
Organism: Paramisgurnus dabryanus
Lineage: Eukaryota; Metazoa; Chordata; Actinopteri; Cypriniformes; Cobitidae
Source: RefSeq, a predicted model, not a curated record